RNAcentral lists this small RNA (391 nucleotides) under Aplysia californica (California sea hare). RNAcentral's name for it is "cREB-binding protein". The record is from RNAcentral. Lineage: Eukaryota; Metazoa; Mollusca; Gastropoda; Aplysiida; Aplysiidae.
GCUGGUCAUCCAUAUUUUUAAAUCUCUAGUACAUUGUUCAGUAGAGUCGACUAAAAGUGGUAUUUGAUCGAAAUCAAUAGACUUAUAAAUUUGAGUGUCAUCAGCAUAAAGAUGGUAAUUCAUGCCAUAUUGUCUUAAAAUAUCAGCAAUAGGUUGUGUAUACAUUGUAAACAAGACAGGUCCAAGAACAGACCCCUGAGGAACACCACAUCUAAGCAAAACAUUAUUAGAACACGUGUUUCCAACCACAACUGCUUGUGUUCGAUCCUUAAAAUAUGACUCAAACCAUUGCAGGACAGUACCCUUUAUGCCAAAAGUAGUAUUUAAUCUCUCGAGUAAAAUGUCAUGAUCAAUGGUAUCGAACGCAGCCGAAAGGUCCAAAAGAGUAAGA